CUGCUGCCUCCCGUAGGAGUCUGGGCCGUGUCUCAGUCCCAAUGUGGCCGGCCAACCUCUCAGUCCGGCUACUGAUCGUCGACUUGGUGGGCCGUUACCCCGCCAACUAUCUAAUCAGACGCGAGGCCAUCUCAGAGCGAUAAAUCUUUGGCAACCAAAGCCAUGCGACUUAGUUGCAUUAUGCGGUAUUAGCAGCUAUUUCUAACUGUUAUUCCCCACUCCAAGGCAGGUUCCUCACGCGUUA
Molecule: ribosomal RNA, 244 nt
Filed under: uncultured bacterium
Lineage: Bacteria
Description: partial 16S ribosomal RNA
Source: RNAcentral